This 301-nucleotide ribosomal RNA is filed under the name uncultured bacterium. RNAcentral describes it as "partial 16S ribosomal RNA". It matches the Rfam family "Bacterial small subunit ribosomal RNA", at positions 509 to 809 of the family's 1533-position model. The record is from RNAcentral.
CAGUAGCCGCGGUAAUACGUAGGGUGCAAGCGUUGUCCGGAAUCAUUGGGCGUAAAGCGCGCGUAGGUGGCCAUUUAAGUCCGCUGUGAAAGUCAAAGGCUCAACCUUUGAAAGCCGGUGGAUACUGGAUGGCUAGAGUACGGAAGAGGCGAGUGGAAUUCCUGGUGUAGCGGUGGAAUGCGCAGAUAUCAGGAGGAACACCAAUAGCGAAGGCAGCUCGCUGGGACGUUACUGACACUAAGGCGCGAAAGCGUGGGGAGCGAACAGGAUUAGAUACCCGCGUAGUCCCUGUCUCUUAUAA